Molecule: ribosomal RNA, 239 nt
Filed under: uncultured Lactobacillus sp.
Lineage: Bacteria; Bacillati; Bacillota; Bacilli; Lactobacillales; Lactobacillaceae
Description: partial 16S ribosomal RNA
Rfam family: Bacterial small subunit ribosomal RNA
Source: RNAcentral
UAACCUGCCCGAGAGAUCGGGAUAACACCUGAAACAGAUGCUAAUACCGGAUAACAACAGAUGAUGCCUAUCAACUGUUUAAAAGAUGGUUCUGCUAUCACUCUUGGAUGGACCUGCGGUGCAUUAGCUAGUUGGUAGGGUAACGGCCUACCAAGACGAUGAUGCAUAGCCGAGUUGAGAGACUGAUCGGCCACAUUGGGACUGAGACACGGCCCAAACUCCUACGGGAGGCAGCAGCC